Molecule: ribosomal RNA, 490 nt
Filed under: uncultured bacterium
Lineage: Bacteria
Description: bacterial SSU rRNA
Rfam family: Bacterial small subunit ribosomal RNA
Source: RNAcentral
UAGCGACAGGCUUAACACAUGCAAGUCGAGGGGUAACAGGGUAGCAAUACCGCUGACGACCGGCGCACGGGUGAGUAACGCGUAUGCAACCUGCCUAUAACUGGGGAAUAGCUCCCUGAAAGGGGAAUUAACACCGCAUAACACUAUUGAUUCGCAUGGAUUAGUAGUUAAAUGUAGCGAUACAGGUUAUAGAUGGGCAUGCGUGACAUUAGCUAGUUGGUGAGGUAACGGCUCACCAAGGCUACGAUGUCUAGGGGUUCUGAGAGGAAGGUCCCCCACACUGGUACUGAGACACGGACCAGACUCCUACGGGAGGCAGCAGUGAGGAAUAUUGGUCAAUGGGCGCAAGCCUGAACCAGCCAUGUCGCGUGCAGGAAGACUGCCCCCUAUGGGUUGUAAACUGCUUUUAUAGUAGAAGAAACACAUCUACGUGUAGAUGUCUGCCAGUAUACUAUGAAUAAGCAUCGGCUAACUCCGUGCCAGCAGCAGC